RNAcentral lists this ribosomal RNA (444 nucleotides) under uncultured bacterium. RNAcentral's name for it is "partial 16S ribosomal RNA". It matches the Rfam family "Bacterial small subunit ribosomal RNA", at positions 338 to 795 of the family's 1533-position model. The record is from RNAcentral.
CCUACGGGAGGCAGCAGUGAGGAAUAUUGGUCAAUGGGCGCGAGCCUGAACCAGCCAAGUAGCGUGAAGGAUGACUGCCCUACGGGUUGUAAACUUCUUUUCUCAGGGACGAAGCAAGUGACGGUACCUGAGGAAUAAGCCACGGCUAACUACGUGCCAGCAGCCGCGGUAAUACGUAGGUGGCAAGCGUUAUCCGGAUUUACUGGGUGUAAAGGGCGUGUAGGCGGGAAAGCAAGUCAGAUGUGAAAACCAUGGGCUCAACCUGUGGCCUGCAUUUGAAACUGUUUUUCUUGAGUACUGGAGAGGCAGACGGAAUUCCUAGUGUAGCGGUGAAAUGCGUAGAUAUUAGGAGGAACACCAGUGGCGAAGGCGGUCUGCUGGACAGCAACUGACGCUGAGGCGCGAAAGCGUGGGGAGCAAACAGGAUUAGAUACCCGUGUAGUC